GUAGCCAGGGCUACUGUCUAUCUCUGAAAUGCUCCCACGGGCUCAUGUUUUGAAUGCUUGUUUCUUCAGACGGUGACUGCAUUCAGAGAGGUCAGGGGCCUAUAGGAGGCUGGGCCUAGCUGCUUAAGUAGGUAACUAGAGGCAUGCCUUGAAGGUGGUUAAAACCCAGGUCCUGGCCUGGUUUCUGGUCCUGAUCAAAUCCCAGCUCCUGCCACUCCAGCGCCACCACCACGGUGACAGACCGAACUCUCAGAACAGUGAGUCAAAGCGAUCUUUUCCUUCACUAGGUGGUUUCCGUCAGGGAUCUUGGCAUGGCAACAAGAGAAAGCAGCAAGAGUCAGCUCUGAGACCAAGCAUACCCUGCAGCUGUCACCGUCCACAGACCAGCCUGGUGGCUUACAGCCGGGAGUGACCGUAAGGCCGCACGGAUAGGUGGGCGCACCACUGGGUUCCCGAUUAGCAUGGGGGGGCACAGCGGUGUUACCUGGGAAACUACUAUAACUAACUGCAGAAAAGCUGGUGGUGGGAGAGGGGUCAGGGUCCCCAUGAUAACAAAUACUUCGGCUGAUCUGUGACGGUUCAGCCACCAAGUUAAACACAGCUGCUGGGCCAUCAGGAGUCAGGCUGCGGAACAUGUAGGUAGCCGAAUCCCAUGUCUGUGAAUGCUCAUGUGUUCUGAAGGCAAGGGAGGUAUUUGUACUUUAUAAUAUAAAGUGUCAACUAUUGCCUGGUUUCCCCAGCCCUUUCCGUCUCUGUCUGGGGCUCCUACUUGGCUCCGCGCUUCUCCUCUGUCCUAGGCCCUGAGUGUGGCUGCGCUCUGCGACUGCUGUCCCGAGACGCCAACAGCUUCACUGCUAGAUUCGUGCUGUGGGGUAGAGUUCGGUAGAGCUGGGGGGUGUGAACGUGGCUCGCAAACCACGCAGCAUCUUAGUAGCCUCAAGCUGGAAGAGCAUGGAGUAUGUGGCAGGACCCGCCAAGGGACACAGAGAGUCAAGACUGCUGGAAGGAUCGGUCUGCUGUGUGGAAAGGGGAGACACCGGAACCAGCGUCCCCUGGCUCAAUUCCCUUCCCCACUUCAGGGCAGCCUAGGUCCGAGGAGCUUGGGGGUUCUGGGAACAACUUCUCUUCAGCUUCCCAUCUUCAGGAUGUCACUUUGUGUUUGUGUCCCGUGGCCACUGAGAUCACAAAACAUGAAUUGUGUGGCCCUGCGUGUGACUGGCUUUGGUGAUGAGAGCAUGGAUGGGAGAAUUCAAAGUGAGUAACUGGAAAUGUAGAUCUUUUCUUUACUAAGAACAACCCUGAAUGGAAAUGAAGCAGCACCCUGACAGGUUCAACAAGAGCAGUGACGGAGAGAGCCCUAGGCCUGGUGGCCGUCCCUUGCUCCCGCCUGUUGAGUGAAGAGUCCAUGCUUGCAUUCUGCUCUAGGUCUCACAGAUUGUGUAGCUGGCUCUGCAGGAUGAGGAGCUGUGUCUCUGAUGGCUAUGGUGCUGGCUCCCAGCUGAACCUGUGUGGAUUAUAAACUGUCAGAUUUGUCAGGAGAAGCCCGCUAGGCCUGCUAAGUGACACUUCAUUAUAAAGCCGGCCCUUGGCUCUGUCCUUCCUCUGCAGGGCCUUCACUGACCCUAAGCCUUGACUCAAGUGCACUUGCGAGCAUCACCUCAGCCCGAGUUCUCAGUCUAUGUGGACGCUUGGGCCCCCUCUCUGGGUCUGUGGUCUGUGGUGGGAUUUUCCAGAGCUUUACCGGAACCUCGUGUGCCCACCACACAGAAAGGGAAACACACCCUCCAUUUAAGUUAGAUGGUGUUCGUUCCUGGCAUCUCAGGGACACAAAGGUCCGAGCUGAGCCGGCCAGCAGAGGGCAGCAGUGUAUGGCGAAUGGUGGACUCCGGUUCCUGAAAGGACAGUAUCUUCAGGAGGGAGAAGACAUGAGAGCCAGAGAGAAAGCCUGUCAGCCAGAGUCUUGCUGAGUGUUCUGAGGCCCCCAUAGCCAACACUCAUGGCGAACACCUCAGACGCUGCUGGGCUGGAUGCCAGAGACCCGGAGAGACAAGGGCUCUGUCUUUGGGGAGCCACACACGUAACAGAUCACAACCCCGGACUGACUCACUGAUGUAGAAUAAAUAGGCUUGGUUGGGAUGGACAGAGAGCCCAUUCGGCUUGGGAGACCACCCCUUCCUUCACCCAGGCUGUAAGCCCGGUGCCAGGCUCAGGAGAGGCAGGACACAGAGCAGCAGUCCGUCUCGGUCAACUAGGGUCUAACCAAGG
Phodopus roborovskii (desert hamster) is the source of this 2265-nucleotide long non-coding RNA. RefSeq lists it as uncharacterized. The transcript has 4 exons. The record is from RefSeq and is a predicted model, not a curated record. NCBI's taxonomy places the organism in Eukaryota, Metazoa, Chordata, Mammalia, Rodentia, Cricetidae.